ACAGAGGGGGCAAGCGUUGUUCGGAUUUACUGGGUGUAAAGGGUGCGUAGGCUGUCUUGUAAGUUAGAUGUGAAAUCUCAAGGCUUAACCUUGAAACUGCAUUUAAUACUGCUCGACUAGAGUACGAAAGAGGGAGAUGGAAUUCUCGGUGUAAGAGUGAAAUCUGCAGAUAUCGAGAGGAACACCAGUAGCGAAGGCGAUCUCCUGGGUCGAUACUGACGCUGAGUGCACGAAAGCUAGGGGAGCAAACGG
This 252-nucleotide ribosomal RNA is filed under the name uncultured prokaryote. RNAcentral describes it as "partial 16S rRNA". It matches the Rfam family "Bacterial small subunit ribosomal RNA", at positions 525 to 775 of the family's 1533-position model. The record is from RNAcentral.